CGGGUGAGUAACGCGUGAGGAACCUGCCUCAAAGAGGGGGACAACAGUUGGAAACGACUGCUAAUACCGCAUAAGCUCACGGCUCGGCAUCGAGCAGAGGGAAAAGGAGUGAUCCGCUUUGAGAUGGCCUCGCGUCCGAUUAGCUGGUUGGUGAGGUAACGGCCCACCAAGGCGACGAUCGGUAGCCGGACUGAGAGGUUGAACGGCCACAUUGGGACUGAGACACGGCCCAG
Molecule: ribosomal RNA, 233 nt
Filed under: uncultured bacterium
Lineage: Bacteria
Description: partial 16S ribosomal RNA
Rfam family: Bacterial small subunit ribosomal RNA
Source: RNAcentral